Molecule: long non-coding RNA, 1761 nt
Organism: Lates calcarifer (barramundi perch)
Lineage: Eukaryota; Metazoa; Chordata; Actinopteri; Centropomidae
Exons: 3
Source: RefSeq, a predicted model, not a curated record
UGUAAAUGUGAUAGACGACAGCAUUCAGAUGCUAUUUCACAAAAUUCAUGUUAAUUAGCUACACUAGGGUAGAUUUGUGCCAGUGACUGGUGACAGUUGACAGGCACAGGUGUAAAUAAUAAAAUAACUGAUGGAUGAAUUCCAUUUAGCUGCUUUGGUCUCAGGUUCCCACUAUUGUUCAUGCUGUAACUCACUUUCAUACAACACUGAGUCAUCAUUAACGUUAUUAAUAACAUCUGUGCUUUGCCUGCUGUGCGCCUACUAUCUGGCAACAUCAACACUAAACUUUCACCCCGUGCUGCUUGUUAAGGCUUUAAAACUCAAAAAUGAAACUCUGAAAUAGCAGUUUUGGUAUAAAGUUGCUAAGUUGUUCAGCUCUUCUCUCAAACACACUCACUCCUUGCUGUGUGUUUGUUUCUUUUCCGACUUGUUCUGUAACAGCGUGUCUCUACCUCUGCCUCCUUGCCUGUCAUUUGAAUUUCAUCUUUCCCACUUCUUUGUCUCUCCUUCCCUUGCAUUUCUCUCUCUCCGUCUCUGCCACUCUCUCACCACUAGACACAUACUGUAUACACUUGCCGUCUCUGAACAUUAGUUCACUUCCCUGUCUGGCUUUAAACAUCGGCCCCGGAUUGGCUGUUGACCCGAUGGGUUUCCUUUUGCACGUGUGCACACACACACACAUAAAUCACACACAUCAUGCCCACACAGUGUAUGAGCGCAGAAAUACUCCCACACAAAUCAGCACAUCAGCACACAUGCACUCACCCAUGCUUGCAGACAUAGGUACACACACACACACACACACACACUUGCGCACAGUAAAGACUGAAUUAUUGGCAGGGCUGGAGUGACAGGCCUCUCUUCACCAACUCAUUCAUGCUCUGCUGACGAUUGUGUUAUGCAUGGCCCAUUUGCUACGUGGAUCAUAAAGUGCAAUAAGGACAGAGUUAAGCAGGGACAGACACACAUACACACACUUAAACCCACGCUCACAUGAAUACACACUGAAGUGCACACUUGGACACGCGCUGACUUUUUUUUCCUCCCCGACACGAUAUUGCAUAAUCGCAGAAUCUGUCUAAAUCUCUCUCCCCGUCUCUGUCCAUGUCCCCCCCUGUCAGUUUUCUUCCCUCUCUCUCCUGUAUCACUGACUCCCAUGUCCACAAGAGUAACAUUAAUAGUGUGGUGGCAGAAGGGUGAGUAAAGCUUAAAAAGGACAGAAGGAGAAAGUAAAAGGAAAAAAAGCACAGGAAGAGAAGCUAUUAGUAGUCUGACAGCUAAUGGAGGUCUGAGUAAAAAUAACAUUUUAAAACAAAUGAAGUGCAGAAGAAAAAGCAUGAAAGAAAAAAGAAAGGAAAGCUAAGAGGACGGUGUAAACUGGGUUUCACAUUGCAACAUCAACCUUUAUGCAGGGACCACAACUAGAGUAAAACAAUCACAGAGCACUUGACAAAGAGUCCCACAAAAAUAGAUGCACAAUUGGUUUCUAGUUCCAAAAAAAAAAAAAAAUGAAAAGAAACAUAAGAUAUUGCUUGAUAUUUUAUCUGCCACCAGGGGGCAGCAGAACAAACUGUACGCACAACCUAUCAAAAGUUGCCUGUCCCCAGCAGAUACAGAGCUACAUUAACAUUUAUAAUUCUGUUUCCAGCCAUCCAACAACAAACAACAAACCUGACAUCCACUAACUCUGCUAACAGCAGCCAGACGACUGCAACUGACAACAAAGAGAAGGCAUCGGCAGCAAAGCCCCAAGAACAGGAG